This 397-nucleotide ribosomal RNA is filed under the name uncultured bacterium. RNAcentral's name for it is "partial 16S ribosomal RNA". It matches the Rfam family "Bacterial small subunit ribosomal RNA", at positions 523 to 918 of the family's 1533-position model. The record is from RNAcentral.
AUACGUAGGGGGCGAGCGUUGUCCGGAAUGAUUGGGCGUAAAGGGCGCGUAGGCGGCGCGGUAAGUCUGGAGUGAAAGUCCUGCUUUCAAGGUGGGAAUUGCUUUGGAUACUGCCGCGCUUGAGUGCAGGAGAGGUUAUCGGAAUUCCCGGUGUAGCGGUGAAAUGCGUAGAGAUCGGGAGGAACACCAGUGGCGAAGGCGGGUAACUGGACUGCAACUGACGCUGAGGCGCGAAAGUGUGGGGAGCAAACAGGAUUAGAUACCCUGGUAGUCCACACCGUAAACGAUGAAUGCUAGGUGUAGGGGGUAUCGACCCCUUCUGUGCCGCAGUCAACACAAUAAGCAUUCCGCCUGGGGAGUACGGCCGCAAGGUUGAAACUCAAAGGAAUUGACGGGG